This is a non-coding RNA of Vibrio nigripulchritudo, 81 nucleotides long. It matches the Rfam family "antisense RNA of dnaA mRNA". The record is from Rfam. Lineage: Bacteria; Pseudomonadati; Pseudomonadota; Gammaproteobacteria; Vibrionales; Vibrionaceae.
UUUCGCAUUGGGCUUGUUAUCCACAAUGGCAUUGCCAACCGCAUGCAACAGGUGGGUUUUACCUAAACCUGUGCCACCGUA